CGCAUCUGUGCAUGCAGCAUAUCAAUAAGCGGAGGAAAAGAAACUAACAAGGAUUCCCCUAGUAACGGCGAGUGAAGCGGGAAGAGCUCAAAUUUGAAAUCUUAAAGGGUUUCCCUUUACGAAUUGUAGUUUAAAGAAGUGUUUUCUGUUGAGGUUUGGUAAAAGUUCUUUGGAAUAGGACAUCAUAGAGGGUGAGAAUCCCGUAUUUGACCUUUACUUUCAACUUUGUGAUACACUUUCAAAGAGUCGGAUUGUUUGGGAAUGCAGUCCAAAAUGGGUGGUAAAUUUCAUCUAAAGCUAAAUAUUGGCGAGAGACCGAUAGCGAACAAGUACCGUGAGGGAAAGAUGAAAAGAACUUUGAAAAGAGAGUUAAACAGUACGUGAAAUUGUCAAAAGGGAAGCGUUUGACACCAGUGUUGUUUUUCUGAAAAUCAAUUAAAGAACUGUUUAUGCUAAGCUGUUUAGACUUUAUCAGCUAUCUGUUUAGUUUUGAGCUUUUCUUUAAUGCACUUUUCAGUUAACAAGUCAACAUCAACUUCUUUUGCUGUAAAAAAGCUGAGGAAGGUGGCUUGAGAUUCGUCUUAAGUGUUUAUAGCCUCUUGCCUAUGCAGUCGGAGAGAUUGAGGUCUGCAGCGUAGAUCCUUCGGGGCUAAAUGCAUUUGUGCUAAGUUAUAGCAUUUUAUAGACAACUUGUUGACUAUGAUUUGUCUUGUAGCUUACUCGCUUAUGUUAUUUUACCUACGCUUAGGAUGUUGAGUCGUAGAGCACGCAG
RNAcentral lists this ribosomal RNA (772 nucleotides) under uncultured Neocallimastigales. RNAcentral's name for it is "partial large subunit ribosomal RNA". It matches the Rfam family "Eukaryotic large subunit ribosomal RNA", at positions 26 to 628 of the family's 3401-position model. The record is from RNAcentral. Lineage: Eukaryota; Fungi; Neocallimastigomycota; Neocallimastigomycetes; Neocallimastigales.